GCUGGCUCCUAAAGAGAAGUAAGUAAAAGUUCAUCAGAUGAAGAAUAGAAGGUGUUUUCUAGGUGGAUGGAGGAAGAGAUAUUUACAAAGCCAGGAGGUGUGAGGGAACCUCACAUUCAGGGGAAAUGCAAGAAUAUAUGGAGGACAAGAAGAUGGAAAGAGAGGGCAGUCAGAAAAAUCAGCAAGACAGAGAAAUAACCAAGAGAAAUGAGCAAAGCCCGACUGUUGUUCCUACUUUGGCCAUUGGAGCUCUUUCCAGUUAGCUUCUCUUCCUUGGACAGCUUCCAUACGUUUUUGAGCACUUCCUUAUUUCUGACACCAGAAGAUGACUCAGGCUUGACUUGUAUUCUCCCCGUCCAACAAUGGAAUCUGCCAUUUCUCCAAGGAGCCCUGAUUCCUUUUAUUUGAGCGUGGUACAUAGAAGCUGA
RNAcentral lists this long non-coding RNA (428 nucleotides) under Homo sapiens (human). Its description in RNAcentral is "HSALNT0323767". The record is from RNAcentral. Lineage: Eukaryota; Metazoa; Chordata; Mammalia; Primates; Hominidae.